AAAGUCCAGUUAUGGAAGGAAAAGCUGGCACACCAUAUAGCGAGUCUUAUGCUGCUAAAGGUAACAACAGUAGUAAAGCGUAGACAGUGAAACAUUCUAGCCGAAACCAAAUGAUGAACGUGAUAGCCAGGAAAAUGAUGUAGUGGAAGCCGAUAUGCCUACUACGUAGUAGGCAAAAGAAGAUUGGAGAUCAAACUAGUGAAAAUUCAAAAAUUUUCAACCACUGGAGUC
This is a non-coding RNA of Orientia tsutsugamushi, 231 nucleotides long. Lineage: Bacteria; Pseudomonadati; Pseudomonadota; Alphaproteobacteria; Rickettsiales; Rickettsiaceae. The record is from Rfam.